RNAcentral lists this ribosomal RNA (784 nucleotides) under Tetrapisispora sp. RNAcentral's name for it is "SSU rRNA". It matches the Rfam family "Eukaryotic small subunit ribosomal RNA", at positions 147 to 943 of the family's 1831-position model. The record is from RNAcentral. Lineage: Eukaryota; Fungi; Ascomycota; Saccharomycetes; Saccharomycetales; Saccharomycetaceae.
CUGUGGUAAUUCUAGAGCUAAUAGCUGGCUUAAAAUCUCGACCUUUUGGAAGAGAUGUAUUUAUUAGAUAAAAAAUCAAUGUCUUCGGACUUCUUGAUGAUUCAUAAUAACUUUUCGAAUCGCAUGGCAUUUUGCUGGCGAUGGUUCAUUCAAAUUUCUGCCCUAUCAACUUUCGAUGGUAGGAUAGUGGCCUACCAUGGUUUCAACGGGUAACGGGGAAUAAGGGUUCGAUUCCGGAGAGGGAGCCUGAGAAACGGCUACCACAUCCAAGGAAGGCAGCAGGCGCGCAAAUUACCCAAUCCUAAUUCAGGGAGGUAGUGACAAUAAAUAACGAUACAGGGCCCUUUGGGUCUUGUAAUUGGAAUGAGUACAAUGUAAAUACCUUAACGAGGAACAAUUGGAGGGCAAGUCUGGUGCCAGCAGCCGCGGUAAUUCCAGCUCCAAUAGCGUAUAUUAAAGUUGUUGCAGUUAAAAAGCUCGUAGUUGAACUUUGGGCACGGAGGGCCGGUCCGAUUAUUUCGAGAACUGGAUACCUUUGUGCCUUUCCUUCUGGGGAACCUAUGCUCCUUGUGGGUGUAGGGGGUCCAGGAUUUUUACUUUGAAAAAAUUAGAGUGUUCAAAGCAGGCGUAUUGCUCGAAUAUAUUAGCAUGGAAUAAUAGAAUAGGACGUUUGGUUCUAUUUUGUUGGUUUCUAGGACCAUCGUAAUGAUUAAUAGGGACGGUCGGGGGCAUCAGUAUUCAAUUGUCAGAGGUGAAAUUCUUGGAUUUAUUGAAGACUAACUAC